UACAGAGGUCUCAAGCGUUGUUCGGAUUCAUUGGGCGUAAAGGGUGCGUAGGCGGCGCGGUAAGUCGGGUGUGAAAUCUCGGAGCUUAACUCCGAAACUGCAUUCGAUACUGCCGUGCUUGAGGACUGGAGAGGAGACUGGAAUUUACGGUGUAGCGGUGAAAUGCGUAGAUAUCGUAAGGAAGACCAGUGGCGAAGGCGGGUCUCUGGACAGUUCCUGACGCUGAGGCCCGAAGGCCAGGGGAGCAAACGGG
This 253-nucleotide ribosomal RNA is filed under the name uncultured bacterium. RNAcentral's name for it is "partial 16S ribosomal RNA". It matches the Rfam family "Bacterial small subunit ribosomal RNA", at positions 524 to 776 of the family's 1533-position model. The record is from RNAcentral.